AACGAACGCUGGCGGCAUGCCUAACACAUGCAAGUCGAACGAGACCUUCGGGUCUAGUGGCGCACGGGUGCGUAACGCGUGGGAACCUGCCCUUAGGUUCGGAAUAACUCCCCGAAAGGGGUGCUAAUACCGGAUAAUGUCUUCGGACCAAAGAUUUAUCGCCUUUGGAUGGGCCCGCGUUGGAUUAGCUAGUUGGUAGGGUAAAAGCCUACCAAGGCGACGAUCCAUAGCUGGUCUGAGAGGAUGAUCAGCCACACUGGGACUGAGACACGGCCCAGACUCCUACGGGAGGCAGCAGUGGGGAAUAUUGGACAAUGGGCGAAAGCCUGAUCCAGCAAUACCGCGUGAGUGAUGAAGGCCUUAGGGUUGUAAAGCUCUUUUACCCGGGAUGAUAAUGACAGUACCGGGAGAAUAAGCUCCGGCUAACUCCGUG
RNAcentral lists this ribosomal RNA (433 nucleotides) under uncultured bacterium. RNAcentral's name for it is "partial 16S ribosomal RNA". It matches the Rfam family "Bacterial small subunit ribosomal RNA", at positions 29 to 507 of the family's 1533-position model. The record is from RNAcentral.